RNAcentral lists this long non-coding RNA (2358 nucleotides) under Homo sapiens (human). RNAcentral describes it as "HSALNT0052311". The record is from RNAcentral. Lineage: Eukaryota; Metazoa; Chordata; Mammalia; Primates; Hominidae.
CUCUCUUCGGCUGGGGAGAUCCUUACUCUCCAUGGCCACCAGAUGGCGAAGGCUGCCCGCGGCCCAGAAGAGAGAGGAGCCUGCAGACCCGCGCGGAAACUCUGCUGCGGGACCUGGAGGCCAAGGGUGAGGCGUGGGGUCCUCCUCCACUCCAACUGUGUGGGGAAACCUGGGUAGAACUUAAAGUUACAAAAGUCAUUGUGCAAGCCCUGCUGUCCCCACAAGGGCUUAUAGGAAGGGGUUCGGAGCUUUUCAAGGAGGCAGGGGAAAAUUAAACUCGUGUCUCUUAAUGUGUAUUUGGUGGGAGGGGAAUGCUGCCUGAAAUAAUGCAUUGCUUCGGCGGCGGUCAGAGAUCCAUGUGACGCGGGGGCACUUUAGGGACCAUUGCUGAGGGCCUGGUUAGCAUUUGGGCAGCUGAAUCCUUCCCUUGGCGAACUCCAUACGUGCCCUCGGCGACACACAGAGGACUCCCAGAGUUGAAGAAGGGGGUGGAUGUGUGUGUGCGCACUCGCCCACGUCUCGUGUUUUACUUUUCAUUUAAGUCGUAAUAAGGAGAAAUUCGAUGACCAGCAAGGCUGGAGUCCCAUCGUCUUGUUGGGGGAGAGGGGGGAGAAGAAAAAGGUGCCUGUAACUUCAGACUGUCCAAGAUAUCGCUUAGCUCCUGCGCCCGGAAGAAAAUCCAGCGCAGGUCGGGUUCCGGCGCGCGGAAGCCCUGCGAACCCCAAAUGUGUGCGCUGAGCCGAGGCCUCUAAGCGGUUUAAUUCGGAAAGAAGAGACUGCAGAGGAGAGGGAAGACCGUGAGUCUGCUUUCACCUAGGUUUAAAGCGAAUCAAAGACGGCUGUAAAAAGGGAAACCGGGACCAAAAACAGAUUUGGAGCCUCGAAACUCUCCAUUGAAGGUUUGGAAGAUACGUUGCUGCAGACUUGAAACCGGCUCCAAAUCCGGCCCAAACAUGGGCUGAAAAUAUGGCGCGCUAAUCUGCUGCUUCCCCUCCUCCUCAAGUUCUUUCUGACUCUUCCCACCUUUCCCAGUUUCCCUUCCAGACGUCUGCGGCUCCCCACUCCACCCCCAGGAUAGCUACUCUACAUCCCGACAAUUCCCAGCUUCUACACCCAGGAGGAGGAAUUCUGGAACCACCCAGAGCGAACUCGUGCCGGGGCGGGGUGGGGACCGGAGGAAGGUCCUGCUCCGAAUUCUCUCCAGAGCAGAAAAGAAUUCUAGAGGCUACAUGUGGGCUGCUUUCCCCCCUUCUUCCUUUUUUCCCUCGCAAACCAACAACCAAAAAGUGUUUGGUGAUGGAAAGAACACCAGUGGAAAACGGCAAAUAACAGUAUUUCCAACUCCGAGUCAGGUCCUCUUUGCACUGCUUUUUCCUGUUUCAUUGCAAUUUAUUGAUUUUAUUGUGGUUUUUUGUUUAUUUGGGGCAAGAACGGAGAUGUGAACCAGGACGAGCCAGCAGACCCCCGAGCCAGUAUCUCCUCCCUGGGCAGGGAACACCGCCUGCACCGGUGCAUACUAGGAGACCCUGGCGGAGAAUGUAAACAAACCGGGCGCCGAGCCCUUGAUCUUUAUUUAAAUAGAGGCUUGUUUAUCGGUGUCAUCCUAGGAGGAUUAAUUAGAUACAUCUCUUCACAAUUUGGUGUCUGACACUCCAUCUUAGGAAUGCCUUAUCAUAAGGUGUUAAUUGGGGCCACUCAGCCACUUACGUUUCUAUUAAACACUGUGAGGGACUUUUCACAAGUACCAGGUUCUUUUUUACUGUACGAUGCAAAAACAUACAGGACCCGAAAUAGACUAGGGCCAGAAUCUGCUAUAUCCCGGCAGUGAUUAGCACUUUGGGGCUUUCUAGAGGGCAGAAAUAGGAGAGCACUGUUUUCGAAAUUCCAUCGCAUCUCCCAAUAUUCGGUGGUUGGAUGCAGAUGUAAGGGGGCUGUUGGGGGUGUGGGGAAGGCGCUGACCAGGAUAGGGGGGCUAUGAGUCUCCCUUCCGGAAUCUAAAUCAGUCAUCCACAGUACAUAUAUCUUAAAAAGCACAUCUUCAACGCUUUUGUCCUUGGCUCCCCGGUAAAGUUCGGGGCGCCUUUGCCAAAGUGUUUUGAGUAGGCCGUUCGGAAACGCGGAGCAGGAGUUCGAGCCCCCAAGGUCACGGGUGGCGCGGGAAGAACUCGGGCCCCAGAGGGACGGAGGGGAAGGGAGACAGGACAGUCGAGGUACAAGGUCCUGGCGGCCUUAAUUGGGCGCAGAAGGGGAGGAGGUCUCGGCUGAUUGCUCGCCUCCCAGCAGCUAAUCCUCUUAGCAGCUGCAUUUCCGCGCUACACAGUUAGCAGAAUGAUCCUCCCAGCUAGACCUUUACCCCGG